Molecule: non-coding RNA, 30 nt
Filed under: Rattus norvegicus (Norway rat)
Lineage: Eukaryota; Metazoa; Chordata; Mammalia; Rodentia; Muridae
Source: RNAcentral
UUUAAAGUAUGUGUGUGCUUAUGUUGAUGU